CACUGUAUAGCUGCCACAGCAUUAACCUUUUAAGUUAAAGAUCGAGAAAAACCUCUUCUCUGCAGUGA
Molecule: non-coding RNA, 68 nt
Organism: Rhinopithecus bieti (black snub-nosed monkey)
Lineage: Eukaryota; Metazoa; Chordata; Mammalia; Primates; Cercopithecidae
Source: Ensembl